Molecule: ribosomal RNA, 406 nt
Filed under: uncultured bacterium
Lineage: Bacteria
Description: partial 16S ribosomal RNA
Rfam family: Bacterial small subunit ribosomal RNA
Source: RNAcentral
AUUGAACGCUGGCGGCAGGCCUAACACAUGCAAGUCGAACGAGUGGCGGACGGGUGAGUAAUGUCUGGGAAACUGCCUGAUGGAGGGGGAUAACUACUGGAAACGGUAGCUAAUACCGCAUACCAUCGGAUGUGCCCAGAUGGGAUUAGCUAGUAGGUGGGGUAACGGCUCACCUAGGCGACGAUCCCUAGCUGGUCUGAGAGGAUGAACAGCCAAACGUGAACUGGGAAACGGGCCAGAAUCCUAAGGGAGGCAGGAGUGGGGAAUAUUGGACAAUGGGCGGAAGCCUGAUGCAGGCAAGCCGGGUGUAUGAAGAAGGGCUUCGGGGUGUAAAGUACUUUCAGCGGGGAGGCGUUACCCGCAGAAGAAGCACCGGCUAACUCCGUGCCAGCAGCCGCGGUAAUAC